CUACGGGUGGCAGCAGUGAGGAAUACUGCACAAUGGGGGGAACCCUGAUGCAGCAACGCCGCGUGGAGGAUGACACAUUUCGGUGUGUAAACUCCUUUUAUAUGUCAAGAAAAUGACGGUAGCAUAUGAAUAAGCACCGGCUAACUCCGUGCCAGCAGCCGCGGUAAUACGGAGGGUGCAAGCGUUACUCGGAAUCACUGGGCGUAAAGGACGCGUAGGCGGGUUGGAAAGUCAGGUGUGAAAUCCUACAGCUUAACUGUAGAACUGCACUUGAAACUUCUAAUCUAGAGUAUGGGAGGGGGAGAUGGAAUUAGUGGUGUAGGGGUAAAAUCCGUAGAUAUCACUAGGAAUACCUAAAGCGAAGGCGAUCUCCUGGAACAUUACUGACGCUAAGGCGUGAAAGCGUGGGGAGCAAACAGGAUUAGAUACCCCCGUAGUC
This 439-nucleotide ribosomal RNA is filed under the name uncultured bacterium. RNAcentral describes it as "partial 16S ribosomal RNA". It matches the Rfam family "Bacterial small subunit ribosomal RNA", at positions 339 to 795 of the family's 1533-position model. The record is from RNAcentral.